Molecule: long non-coding RNA, 359 nt
Filed under: Homo sapiens (human)
Lineage: Eukaryota; Metazoa; Chordata; Mammalia; Primates; Hominidae
Description: non-protein coding lnc-JMY-1:1
Source: RNAcentral
UGAAGUGGAUGUUCAAGGAGAACCACUCGCUAGAAAACAGAUGCGUGCAGUUCCCGAAGAUCAGAGUAAAAUAUCCUGACCGGGUUCCGGUGAUUGUGGAAAAAAAAAGUCUCAGGCUCUCAGAUUGUUGACACUGACAAACGGAAGAACUUGGUUCCAUCUGACAGCCAUUCAGUUCCAUCUGUGGCUCAGUUCUUGUGGAUCAUCACAAAAAGGAUCCAUCUUCCUUCUGAAAAGGCAUCUUCUGUUUGUGGAUAAAACAGUCCAGUCCAGCCUAACUAUAGGAGAGCUUUACUAGAAGGAAAAAGAUACAGAUGGAAUCUUGUAUGUGGCCUCCAGUGGGGAGAACACUUUUGGUU